AGAGUUUGAUCAUGGCUCAGAUUGAACGCUGGCGGCAUGCCUUACACAUGCAAGUCGAACGGUAACGGGCCUUCGGGUGCCGACGAGUGGCGAACGGGUGAGUAAUGUAUCGGAACGUACCUUCAGUGGGGAUAACGUAGCGAAAGUCACGCUAAUACCGCAUAUUCUGUGAGCAGGAAAGCAGGGGAUCGCAAGACCUUGCGCUGGUUGAGCGGCCGAUAUCAGAUUAGCUAGUUGGUGAGGUAAAGGCUCACCAAGGCGACGAUCUGUAGCGGGUCUGAGAGGAUGAUCCGCCACACUGGAACUGAGACACGGUCCAGACUCCUACGGGAGGCAGCAGUGGGGAAUUUUGGACAAUGGGGGCAACCCUGAUCCAGCCAUGCCGCGUGAGUGAAGAAGGCCUUCGGGUUGUAAAGCUCUUUCGGCCGGGAAGAAAUCGUAUGGGUUAAUACCCUGUGCGGAUGACGGUACCGGCAUAAGAAGCACCGGCUAACUACGUG
RNAcentral lists this ribosomal RNA (500 nucleotides) under uncultured bacterium. RNAcentral describes it as "bacterial SSU rRNA". It matches the Rfam family "Bacterial small subunit ribosomal RNA", at positions 8 to 507 of the family's 1533-position model. The record is from RNAcentral.